AUUGAACGCUGGCGGCAUGCCUUACACAUGCAAGUCGAACGGUCAGCACGGGAGCAAUCCUGGUGGCGAGUCGGCGAACGGUGAGUAAUGUAUCGGAACGUACCUUCAGUGGGGGAUAACGUAGCGAAAGUUUACGCUAAUACCGCAUAUUCUGUGAGCAGGAAAGCAGGGGAUCGCAAGACCUUGCGCUGAUUGAGCGGCCGAUAUCAGGAUUAGCUAGUUGGUGAGGUAAAGGCUCACCAAGGCGACGAUCUGUAGCGGGUCUGAGAGGAUGAUCCGCCACACUGGAACUGAGACACGGUCCAGACUCCUACGGGAGGCAGCAGUGGGGAAUUUUGGACAAUGGGCGCAAGCCUGAUCCAGCCAUGCCGCGUGAGUGAAGAAGGCCUUCGGGUUGUAAAGCUCUUUCAGCCGGGAAGAAAACGCAUGGGUUAAUACCCUGUGUGGAUGACGGUACCGGAAUAAGAAGCACCGGCUAACUACGUG
This 486-nucleotide ribosomal RNA is filed under the name uncultured bacterium. Its description in RNAcentral is "bacterial SSU rRNA". It matches the Rfam family "Bacterial small subunit ribosomal RNA", at positions 30 to 507 of the family's 1533-position model. The record is from RNAcentral.